This 393-nucleotide ribosomal RNA is filed under the name uncultured bacterium. RNAcentral's name for it is "partial 16S ribosomal RNA". It matches the Rfam family "Bacterial small subunit ribosomal RNA", at positions 523 to 918 of the family's 1533-position model. The record is from RNAcentral.
AUACGUAGGUGGCGAGCGUUGUCCGGAUUUAUUGGGUUUAAAGGGUGCGUAGGCUGUGCGUUAAGUCAGGGGUGAAAUGCCGUCGCUCAACGACGGAGCUGCCCUUGAUACUGGCGUGCUGGAGUACGGAUGCCGUUGGAGGAAUGAGUGGUGUAGCGGGGAAAUGCUUAGAUAUCACUCAGAACACCGAUUGCGAAGGCAUCUGACGAAUCCGUCACUGACGCUGAGGCACGAAAGCGUGGGGAUAGAACAGGAUUAGAUACCCUGGUAUUCCACGCCGUAAACGAUGAUGACUAACCGUCGGCGAUAGACAGCCGGUGGCCAAGCGAAAGCGAUAAGUCAUCCACCUGGGGAGUACGUCGGCAACGAUGAAACUCAAAUGAAUUGACGGGG